GACAGAGGGUGCGAACGUUGUUCGGAAUUACUGGGCGUAAAGGGCGCGUAGGCGGUUCGUUAAGUCCUGUGUGAAAUCCCCCGGCUCAACUGGGGAACUGCACAGGAAACUAGCGGGCUUGAGUUCGGGAGAGGGAAGCGGAAUUCCAGGUGUAGCGGUGAAAUGCGUAGAGAUCGGGAAGAACACCAAUGGCGAAAGCACUCUGCUGGGCCGAAACUGACACUGAGAGACGAAAGCUAGGGGAGCGAAUGGG
This 253-nucleotide ribosomal RNA is filed under the name uncultured bacterium. Its description in RNAcentral is "partial 16S ribosomal RNA". It matches the Rfam family "Bacterial small subunit ribosomal RNA", at positions 524 to 776 of the family's 1533-position model. The record is from RNAcentral.